This 1456-nucleotide ribosomal RNA is filed under the name bioreactor sludge metagenome. RNAcentral's name for it is "bacterial LSU rRNA". It matches the Rfam family "Bacterial large subunit ribosomal RNA", at positions 1050 to 2488 of the family's 2925-position model. The record is from RNAcentral.
AAUGCCGUGCUAAGUGGCAAAGGAUGUGGCGAUACAAAAACAACCAGGAUGUUGGCUUAGAAGCAGCCACCAUUAAAAGAGUGCGUAAUAGCUCACUGGUCGAGUGUCGCUGCGCCGAAGAUGUCCGGGGCUAAAGCACGGAACCGAAGCUAUGGCAGAACUUAAAUGUUCUGGGUAGGGGAGCGUUCCUAUCGGGUAGAAGCGAUACCGGAAGGAGUCGUGGACUGGUAGGAAGUGAGAAUGCCGGUAUGAGUAGCGAAAAGGAAGGUGAGAAUCCUUCCCACCGAAAGCCUAAGGAUUCCUGAGGAAGGAUCGUCCGCUCAGGGUAAGUCGGGACCUAAGCCGAGGCGUAAAUGCGUAGGCGAUGGACAACAGGUUGAUAUUCCUGUACCACCCAAAGUCGUUUGAGCAAUGGAGUGACACAGUAAGGUAGGUAAGCGCGAGGAUGGAAAUUCGCGUCUAAGCUGGUAGGGUGUCUGCGAGGCAAAUCCCGCAGACGUAAAGCCUGAGGAGUGAUGGGGAGCUAAUAGAAAUAUUGGCGAACUUACUGACCCUAGACUGUCAAGAAAAGCUUCUAGCGAGACAAUGGGUGCCCGUACCGCAAACCGACACAGGUAGGCGGGGAGAGAAUCCUAAGGUGCGCGGGAGAACCCUCGUUAAGGAACUCGGCAAAAUGUCCCCGUAACUUCGGGAGAAGGGGAGCCUUGAUAUGUGUAGGUUCGAAACGACUGAAGCAUGUUGAGGUCGCAGAAGAGAGGCCCAAGCGACUGUUUACCACAAACACAGGUGCCUGCUAAAGCGAAAGCUGACGUAUAGGUGCUGACACCUGCCCGGUGCUGGAAGGUUAAGGGGAGUGCUUAGAAGCAAUUCGAAGGUGUGAACCGAAGCCCCAGUAAACGGCGGCCGUAACUAUAACGGUCCUAAGGUAGCGAAAUUCCUUGUCGGGUAAGUUCCGACCCGCACGAAAGGUGUAACGACUUGGGCACUGUCUCAACGAGGGACCCGGUGAAAUUGAAAUACCUGUGAAGAUGCAGGUUACCCGCGACUGGACAGAAAGACCCCAUGGAGCUUUACUGUAGCCUGACAUUGGGUUUUGGUAAAUCAUGUACAGGAUAGGUGGGAGACUUAGAAGGCGGGACGCCAGUCUCGCUGGAGUCGAUGUUGGGAUACCACCCUUGAUUUACUGGAGUUCUAACUGAAGGAGUAACGAAACUCAGGACAGUGUCAGGUGGGCAGUUUGACUGGGGCGGUCGCCUCCGAAAGAGUAACGGAGGCGCCCAAAGGUUCCCUCAGCGCGGUUGGAAAUCGCGCGAAGAGUGCAAAGGCAGAAGGGAGCUUGACUGCGAGACGGACAGGUCGAGCAGGGACGAAAGUCGGGCUUAGUGAUCCGGUGGUACCGAGUGGAAGGGCCAUCGCUCAACGGAUAAAAGCUACCCUGGGGAUAACAGGCUUAUCU